CAAGUAAAUCAACAGCAAUUCUCAGAGCAAUCAUGAGCAAUACGGUGUCGUAAACGGGGGCAGAAAUGUAGUUACUGGGGGGGCAAAUGCAUUCUCUGGGGGGGCAAUUGCCCCCCAGAUAUAUAGUUACGUAAAAAAGGCACUGUAACAUGUCAAACAUUUGUCAAACAUGGACGAUAGUGGAAGGAGAUCGAGAGAUGAUCCAACUUUUAAAGCUGGGCAAAAACACUAUUGCUCAAAGAUUCACAUGAGAAAGCUGUUCGGAGAUGAUUCGAAACGUUUUGACAAAUUUAGUUUGUCAGUGGCUAUACCUCUGAUGGGGAAAUACUCUUGGAUUACUCAAAAAAUAUAAUUACAGAGGAAACAAUGAAACUUUUGUUUGAGCUGGCUGAAAGUAGAAAUGUUCUGGCGGCUCGGGAAAGGUUAUUUUCUUGUGAAAAGAUAAAUUUUACUGAGGUAACGAUAUAUAACCAUACCAUAUAGCUACAUCGUGUUUCAAAAACGUAAACCCUUUAUCAUCCUGUAUCAAGCCUCUUUAUAAAUACCUAUAAUUUUAUGCACUAUGACAGGUUGAAGAUUAUAAUGUUACAAACAUUAUAUAAUCUUCAACGUGAGAAAACAUCGCCUU
Long non-coding RNA from Dendronephthya gigantea, 628 nucleotides. RefSeq lists it as uncharacterized. NCBI's taxonomy places the organism in Eukaryota, Metazoa, Cnidaria, Anthozoa, Malacalcyonacea, Nephtheidae. The transcript has 3 exons. The record is from RefSeq and is a predicted model, not a curated record.